CCUACGGGUGGCAGCAGUGAGGAAUAUUGGUCAAUGGGCGGGAGCCUGAACCAGCCAAGUCGCGUGAGGGAGUACUGCCCUAUGGGUUGUAAACCUCUUUUGUCGGGGAGCAAAAGCCGGACGUGUCCGGCUGUGAGAGUACCCGAAGAAAAAGCAUCGGCUAACUCCGUGCCAGCAGCCGCGGUAAUACGGAGGAUGCGCGCGUUAUCCGGAUUUAUUGGGUUUAAAGGGUGCGCAGGCGGAUUUUUAAGUCAGCGGUAAAAUCGUGGGGCUGAACCCCAUCAAGCCGUUGAAACUGGGGAUCUAGAGUGUGCGAGAGGUAGGCGGAAUGCGUGGUGUAGCGGUGAAAUGCAUAGAUAUCACGCAGAACCCCGAUUGCGAAGGCAGCAUACCGGUGCACAACUGACGCUCAGGCACGAAAGCGUGGGUAUCGAACAGGAUUAGAUACCCGAGUAGUC
RNAcentral lists this ribosomal RNA (458 nucleotides) under uncultured bacterium. RNAcentral's name for it is "partial 16S ribosomal RNA". It matches the Rfam family "Bacterial small subunit ribosomal RNA", at positions 338 to 795 of the family's 1533-position model. The record is from RNAcentral.